UCCCCAUUCUCCUCUUUUUCCCAGGUCUAUUUCUGGCAUCUCUUUCCACAGCACAGGCAGCCUUGCAGAAUGAAAAGUAUUUCUCUCACCUGCCCUGGCCUCUGCCCUGGCUCUGAAAGAGGCAGGCUGUGAAUGAUGGUUGUCAGUGUCUGGAGUUUUCACUGAAAAACAGUCCCCUGAAAUGGAAAGACACACAGAGGGGAGUGAUCUCAUCGCCAUUGAUUUUUCCCAACUUUCAGUUUUGUAUCUCCAUGGUGGAACUCGAUACAGCAGCAUCCCUCAGUGGUUCCAGCCCAGAAGUGCAAGGGGAAGCCGGCUGCCUGUUCAUGAAUUCUGUAGCUCAAAAAGCAGAGGCCGAGAAAGCAAAAUUUCAAACCUUUGUCAGAAAGGGUGAGACCUUGCUCAGCACGAUAGCUGAGAACAGCUUCCUCCUUCAGUGCUGGUCUCUCUAUACUGACAGUUGACAGCUGAUGAUCUCACAUUCUCAGUCAUGCGAAUGACCUCACCUGAGCACCAGUUUGUAACGGAUGUUUAAGAGGAAAGCAGGGAAUUAAAUGCUGCACAGGAAUUUGGCACUUCUGUACAGAAAUAGAAAAACUAAAUGAAACUUAUAGUACCUUCCACUCAACUAAGAUUCUUGUGAAGCAAAGUAUAUCUGGGAAAAUAUAGUAAUAUGGUUAUUUUGUGUUCAUAGGGUGUGACUCUACUUAUAAGCACUUUUUAAUCAUUAUAAUCAAUCACUUUAAAGAUCUUAGAGGGAACUUAUUAAUCAAAAUUUAAGCCUUCUUUAAAAAAAAAAAAAAAACUUCCCAUAUACUAAUUUUGCACAGAAGCAAAAGAUUAGAUUGGGAUUCUGCCUGUUGUGGAGAGACAAAGACAAGAGUGCCCCAGAUUUCUGUGUUUGUGUUUUUACUUCAUACUUUCAAUGCAUCCGCAAGAAUAGACUUGUGUUUCUCUUCUUAAUACACAACGGUUAGAGCUCACAGAAUGUAAGUAAGAGAUUCUAUGAAUUGCACAAUAAGCCAAGGAACUUUCCCAGCUACCGGGAGGCUGAGGUGGGAGGAUUGCUUGACCCCAGUGGGUGGAGAUUGCAGUGAGCAGAGAACACAUCACUGUCACUCUAGCUUGAGUCACAGAGCAGGACCUUGUCUCAAAAAGCAAACAAAAAGCUGGGUGCAGCAGCUCAUGCCUGUAAUCCUAGCGCUUUGGGAGGCUGAUGUGGGAGGAUCACUUCAGACCAGAAGUUCGAGGCCAGCCUGGCCAACAAGGUGAAACCCUGUCUUUACUGAAAAUACAAAAAAUUAGCCAGGUGUAGAGUGGCGCAUGUCUGUAAUCCCAGCUACUCAUGAGGCUGAGGCACCAGGAUCACUUGAACUGAGAAGGCAAAGGGUACAAAGAAACAAACAAACAAAACACACAAGCCAAGAAACUUGACCCCAGUGUUUGGGUCUAUCUCUAAAAAUUCUGACUGAAUAAGUUGCCCACUUUUCAGAACAGGUGCCCAAGCUCAUUUUGUGCUGCUCUAACAGAAUGCUGAGACUGGGUAAUUUAUUACAAAGAGAAAUGUAUUGGCUCACAGUUCUGGAGGCUGGAAAGUUCAAGACCAAAGUGCCAGCAUCUGGUGCAAGUGCAAGCGUCUGUGCUGCAUCCUCACAUGGUGGAAGGCAAGAAGGCAAGAUAGGGUGGAACUUGCCCUUUUAUAAGGCACCAGUUCCACCCAUGAAGGCAGAGCCCUAUGGCCUAACCUCCUCUAAAGGGUCUUACCUCUUUAUACUCCUACAAUAAGAAUUAAAUUUCAGCAUGAGUUGUGGACAAACAUUAAAAUGACAGCAAUAAGGGAGAGGACCCCUCUCAAGGAGAUGAGGGAAACAUUUACUAUUCACGUUUUCAACUCUACCUGGCCAGGAGAUUCCAACACUGCAGCUUCUGGUGACUAAAGAGCAACCUAAUAGAGAAACUACCAAGGAAAGCUAAGUGGUUUCCAAACAAGUUCUCUCAAGGUGACACCUGAUGUGGUUCUAAAAUAUCUCAGCUUUUGCAGGUUUUAAAAUAUGACUUGUCAAUUUCCCAGGCGUGGUCUGACUCUUGGGGCCAGAGUUGCAUUGAUGGCACUUGAGAGACUAAUACAUAAUCCAGAGCUCCAAAUGGACACUGUGAAAUAAAACUGCCAAGACUAGGAGAGGAAAUUAUCUCCAGGAAAAAUGCCAUGCAUGACCAGGGUUAAUGAUAUGGAACACACCCCACAAAGAUGCUUUGCCUUUUGGUACCAGGACUUCAAAUCCUACACAAUGAAGAUGCUGUGCUGGGGCCUGGGCAAAGCCAGGCAAGAAGUGGUUCCUGCUAUCAGGCUGACUAACAUCUAUCAGAAAGAACAGAUCACGGUACUUUACAUGAUCAUAAAGUUAUAUGUGCGGUUGUGAAAUAAAAGUGAUCAUCUAAAUCAGACAGGGAGGUCGGGAACGUGUCCUGAAGAGAUGCUCUGGCUGAGUUCUGGGGGAAAAUAGGAGUGUAGUGGACAGACCAGACUCAGAAUGCUGGCCAUUGUCACCCCUCCCUCUAAGGCAAGCUUCCUCUCACCCAUGGCCCUGUUGGCAUGAAGAUUGCAUUGCAGCACCCAAGCCCCCAGCCCAUCUCCAAUUUGCAGCAGCCACAGGAGGGCAGCACCCAUCACUAAAGCCUGGUUCUGAAAACAGACAAGCCGACUGCAUGGUGGUUCCAAAGAGUUUAAAUAAAUCAGCAGAGAGAGAUUGAGCACCCAUCACUAAAGCCUGGUUCAGAAAACGAACAAGACUACUGUGUGGUGGCUCCAAAGAGUUUAAAUAAAGCAACAGAGAGAGAUUGAGUCAAUGGAGGGGUCAGAAGCUCGGAAGCGCUAUGAGAUAGAGGCUGGGCAGUAGUGAGCCAUGACUCUGAAGAGCUACCGUGGUGAUGAAACAGAAAUGCAACAGCAGACGGAGCCAGUAGGAAGAGAGAAGGGAAUGGAGAGGCCAUACAGAGAGAAUCACGGAUGCCACCAGGGAGGUCCUGGGCCCAGGGGAGACAUGGAAGGGAGGAGGACCUGGUGUGGUCACUACACCUUUUAAUGCCAGCUUCAGUCCCCAAGUGUCAUCUCUCUCUCUCUCUCACACACACACACACACACACACACACAGACACACACACAGUCACACACAUUUUUCUAAGUCAUAAAACGACCCAGAAAAUAUACUUCCAAGUAUAUAACCAAAGAAAAAUUUCACAGAUAUGUACAAGGAAACAAGUAUAAUGAUGUUCAUUGGAAAAAAUGUAAAUAUUCAGCAGAGAAAUCAGUAAUUAAUUGUGAUAUAGGUAUGUGUUGGGCUACAAUUUAGAAGUAGAGUGAACCAGUAUUCUAGACAGAUGGAUAGACAGACAUAUAAAUAUGUGACAUAUAUACACACACAGACACAUCAUAUACUUUGUAUACACAUAUACAUGGACAAGGAUAAAUCUUAAAAUGAUAAAAUUUUAAAUGACAUUUAAUAUAUACAUAAUACCAUUUAUAUGCAUUGAAAACAAUAGUAUGUUUUGCUUGUUCUGGAUACAAAAAAUACAGACAUGUAACUGUUACAAAAAUUAAAGUUUACAAUAUAGUAGUUGCUUCAAAAGAUAAUGGAAUAACUUUGGUGAGACAAAUUAGUUGUUCACUUCAAAAAGUUUAAUUUACGUUUUAUUUAAUAAGAAUUCAACCAAAUGUGACCAACAAAAUUGUGAAUUCUUGUAUAUUUAAUGAAUAGAGGGAACAAAUGAAUAGAGGGAAGGUGAGCAGAAAGGAGGCAAAAAGAAAGUGCAGUUGUCUGGACAACAAAAUCAGAAACAAAAGCACGAAUAUGGAGAGGGAGGGAUGAAAUAUAACUGGUAACAAAAAGAAUUAAUAUGUGUUGGUGAAUGUCUGAGGGUGGGACUCAGUGAGAAGGAGCCGUGCACUUUGGCUCUGGGCUUUCUGGCUGGUACUGAUGCUGAUAACAUGGAAUAGAGAACAGGGAGCGGGUUAGGGGAGGAAGGUGAUGAAUCUGACUUUGAAAGUGCUGAGUGUGAAGGUCCCAUGUUUCAUCCAAGUGGGUGACGUGUCAUGGGUACCUCAAUGCUAGGGACGGAAAUAGGAACCAUUUGCAUCAAAGUUGCAGUUGAAGCCAUGUAACAUGGGGCACCCAGGGAAAGUACACAGAGUGACAAGAACAGAUAGUAAAGGAUGGAGCCUUGUGCUAUGAAUGGACUGAAGAUUGCCAGAAAACGAGCUUGUGAGGUGGGUGGUAAGAAAUAGUGCUGGUGCCAUAAAAGAAUGGAAGUACAGAGGCCCAGGAAAGCAAGUACCUUAAGGCAUAAAACUUACAACAAAAGUCAGAAAGAAAUAUGAAUACAUAUUUAUUGGAUUUGGAGGUGCAGAGGAUGAGCCACAGGAUCCCCCCCUCUGGUCACUCUUAGCCAUUGGCCUCUGUGCCCCCCUUCUUUGUGUGACUCCAUGAAAGCAUGCAGUUCAAAGCCCCAGGAAUGAAGGGGUUAAGCGGAUGACUUCUUUUUAUGUUUCCGGUCUUUCCUUUCUUCAUUCCGGGACAUUUUUCAUGAGCAUUCCUUCCCUUACUUGUUGAUGUUAUUUUAAACAUCUUCUUUAAGUAGUGAUAUAGCCUGGAUCUGUGUCCCCACCGAAUCUCAUGUCGAAUUAUAAUCCCUAAUGUUGGAGGUGGUGCCUGGUGGGAGGUGAUUGGAUCACAGGGGCGGUUUUUCCUGAAUAGUUUAACACCAUCCCCGUUGGUACUGUCGUGGCAAUAGUGAAUGUGUUCUCGUGAGAUCUGGUUGUUAAAAGUGUGUAGCGUCUCCCCCUGGCCCCUCUGUCUUUCUCCUGCUCCCACCGUUUUUGACGCUUCUCUCCUCCUUUACCUUCUGCCAUGGUUAUAAAUUCCCUGAGACCUCUCCAGAAGCUGAUGCUGCUUCCUGUACAGCCUGCAGAACCACAAGACCAUUAAAACUCUUUUCUUUAUAGAUUACCCAGUCUCCGGAAUUUCUUUAUAGCAAUACGAGAAUGGCCUAACACAAGUAGGAAAGUAUUAUGGGUUGGAUUCUUCUCCCUUUAAAAUGCUUAUCUGGAAGUCCUAAUCUCCAGAACCUCAGAAUGUGACUGUAUUUGGACAGAGGGUGUUUAAAGAGGUCAUUAUUCUCAAAUGAGGCCUUUAGAGUGGGCCCUAAUCCAGUACAACUGGUGUCCUUUUAAGAGGGAGAGACACCAGGCCUGUGCAUGUGCAGAGGAAAGGCCGUGUGAGGACACAGGGAGAAGGCAGCCAUCUGCAAGCCAAGAAGAGAGGCCUCAGGAGAAAUCAAACCUGCCAACACCUUGAUCUUCAACUUCUAGCCUCCAGAGCUGCGAGAAAAUACAUUUCUGUUGUUCAAACCACCCAGUCUGUGAUGUCUUGUAAUGGGAGCCCUAGCAAACCAAUGUAGGAAGGAUGUGGAAGUUCUGCUAGUAGCCAUGUCUGCCUGGCUGUGUCUGUUAUGAAUGUGCUUGUGUGUCCUGGAGGGAGCGAUGUGUGCACAAACUAAGGUUGCAGAUCCGGUCACACUCUCAAAACCAAAGGGGACAGAAGUAGGAGAUGAAGUCAGGAAGAUUAAACUCAGGGACCAGAUCAUGUAGAUCAUUUUAAGGAUAUCUCUGUUGAAACGUUUUUAAAAGUUGCAGUGUCUUGGCUUGAUAAGGCCACUGGAAAAACAGGAAACAUGAACAAAAAAACUAACUGAGUUCAUUUUAAACAGCAUCCAUCCUCUUGCCCCUGCAGAAAGGUGAACAAAAGGCAAAUGACACAAACCUGAAAUGCUAGGCAGAGGAGUUUUGAUGAUGUGAUACAGGAGAGAGUCCAGGUGUCUCAGCAUGAAUAACUGAAAAGUGGGUGUUAUUUGAGGAGGAUCAAGAAAGGUUGGGAAGGAGGUGGGGGAAGAGAACAUUCCCAAUCUCAGCUUACUGUCAUGCCUUCCUGCCUCCUACCUCCUGUCACAUCAGUCCUUCCUGUAAAUGCUGGCAGAGGAGCCCCUGGCCCUAGUGCCACGUUCUAGAAGAUGCCCUCUGCCCUUCUCCAGCCAGGCUGGUCACCACUAGGUGAUGAUUCCAAGGGGCCAAAGGGCCAUGUCCCCCAGAAUCCAUGCACCUCCUUCUAGACCACACCCUCCAGUACCUGGGACCCUGGAAUGAUCUACUCCUAUAGUCCCAAGCCCACUUCCAGCAUUACUGCCUGCCUCUUUCCAGGGUCCACCUUCUGGAGGGCCAAGCGGGCUUCUGGGGUGUGCUGGGCAAG
Molecule: long non-coding RNA, 6299 nt
Organism: Pan troglodytes (chimpanzee)
Lineage: Eukaryota; Metazoa; Chordata; Mammalia; Primates; Hominidae
Exons: 3
Source: RefSeq, a predicted model, not a curated record